RNAcentral lists this transfer RNA (87 nucleotides) under Phycisphaerae bacterium. RNAcentral's name for it is "tRNA-Ser". It matches the Rfam family "tRNA". Rfam says of the family: Transfer RNA (tRNA) molecules are approximately 80 nucleotides in length. Their secondary structure includes four short double-helical elements and three loops (D, anti-codon, and T loops). The record is from RNAcentral. Lineage: Bacteria; Pseudomonadati; Planctomycetota; Phycisphaerae. RNAcentral also lists the same sequence under 1 other name.
GGAGAGGUGACAGAGCGGUUGAUUGUGCAGCAUUGGAAAUGCUGUGUACCCGUAAGGGUACCGCGGGUUCGAAUCCCGCCCUCUCCG